RNAcentral lists this ribosomal RNA (543 nucleotides) under uncultured bacterium. Its description in RNAcentral is "bacterial SSU rRNA". It matches the Rfam family "Bacterial small subunit ribosomal RNA", at positions 8 to 570 of the family's 1533-position model. The record is from RNAcentral.
AGAGUUUGAUCCUGGCUCAGAAUGAACGCUGGCGGCGUGCUUAACACAUGCAAGUCGAACGAUGAAGCCCAGCUUGCUGGGUGGAUUAGUGGCGCACGGGUGAGUAAUAUAUAGAUAACGUGCCUCUUAGUCUGGGAUAGCCAUUGGAAACGAUGAUUAAUACCUAAUACACCUUACUUAGUAAAUAAGUAAGGGAAAUGCUUUCGUGCCUAAAGAUAAGACUAUAUGGUAUCAGGUAGUUGGUGGGGUAAGAGCCUACCAAGCCUAUGACGCCUAGCUGGUCUGAGAGGAUGAUCAGCCACACUGGAACUGAGACACGGUCCAGACUCCUACGGGAGGCAGCAGUGGGGAAUAUUGCACAAUGGAGGAAACUCUGAUGCAGCAACGCCGCGUGGAGGAUGACGCAUUUCGGUGUGUAAACUCCUUUUAUAUGGGAAGAUAAUGACGGUACCAUAUGAAUAAGCACCGGCUAACUCCGUGCCAGCAGCCCCGGUAAUACGGAAGGUGCAAGCGUUACUCGGAAUCACUGGGCGUAAAGCGCGC